GUGGCCUCGAUGGAAACUGAUUGAGAUGGGGCGUGGUCACGGGGGCGUGGCCACAGUGGGCGUGGUUAUGGGGCUGAUUAUGAGUCGCUCAGUUACCGGGCGCUGUUAUGGGGUCCCUCCUGAGACUGGAACUUCCUGUGUGUCCCCACAGUUUUCUGACCAUUCCUGUUGACUCUUUCUGUUGCAUGAGUGUUUAGAAAGCCUUGGUCCUAGAGACAAAGAUUAAGAUGGAGAUAUUCUUUUAAAUUAAAAAAUGUCAUUGUCCUAAAAUUUUUCAUUUUAAACUUUUUUGGGGGGGGUGGUACCAGGCAUAAACCCAGGGGUGCUUACCCACAGAGCCACAUCCCCAGCCCCUUUUUGUGUUUUAUUUUGAGACAUGGUCUAAGUUGCUUAGGGCCUCGCUACGUUGCUGAGGCUGGCCUCUAACUUGCGAUCCUUCCUCCUCAGCCUCCAGAGUCCCUGGGAUUACAGGUGUGUGCUGCCGUGUCCGGCUGUCACUUGGAUUUAAAGUCCAGAUUUCAGAGGGGAAAGGGAUGACAAAAGGGAGUAAGUUAAAAUGGAUCUAACCCAGUUUUCCUUUGUGCAUGUAGGAAUAUCACUCACCCCAGGCUGCAGCUGGACUGUCCUCUACCCUGUUUCUGUGCCUCAUUUUGAUCCAACCUCAAAUAAUAAUAAUAAUAAUAAUAAUAAUAAUAAUAAUAAUAAUACUGCAAUAGUGACAGGAACCUCCCUUUAUGGAGACCUCCUGAGGACCCUCCGAAUGCUUUAGCUUUUAUAUUUAGGGCUGUCAUUGACUUUGAGGCAAAGCUCUGCCUAAGUGUGGGGGAAAAAUGUAGAAAGUUAUUUUUUAAAAUUAUUUAAAAAAUUCUGUUAUUCUGUUGUUUUCCACUGGGAAUUGCCUUGGAUAUUUUGUUAAAAAUCUCACUGCAGUCAGAGGGGCAGUUAUCAAGAAGACAAACAACAGUAAGUGUUGGCGAGGAUGUGGGGACCAGGCUCCUUCCUACAUGGUUGGUGGGACUGCAAAUUGGAGCAACCACUCUGGAAAGCAGGAUGGAGAUUCUUCAGGAAACUUGGAAUACAACCACCAUGGGACCCAGCUGUCCCACUCCUCCAUUUAUACCCAAGGGACUUAAAAUCAGCACACUACAGGGACACAGCGACAUCCAUGUUUAUAGCCGCUCAACUCACAAUAGCUAAGCUAUGGAGCCAACCUAGGUGCCCUUCAACAGAUGAAUGGAUAAAGACAAUGUGGUAUAUCUACACAGUGGAAUAUUACUCAGCCACGAAGAAGACAGGUAAAGGGAUGGAGCUGGAGACUAUCAUGCUAAAUGAAAUAAGCCAAUCCCAAAGAGUCAAAAUCUGAAUAUUUUUUUCUGGUCUGUGGAUGCUAAUUCACAAUAAGGGGGUGUCUAGGGAAGAAUAGAGGUGCUUUGGACUAGGCAGAGGGGAGUGAAGGGAGGGAAGGGGUGUG
Molecule: long non-coding RNA, 1471 nt
Filed under: Marmota monax (woodchuck)
Lineage: Eukaryota; Metazoa; Chordata; Mammalia; Rodentia; Sciuridae
Source: RNAcentral